Molecule: long non-coding RNA, 393 nt
Filed under: Erythranthe guttata (spotted monkey flower)
Lineage: Eukaryota; Viridiplantae; Streptophyta; Magnoliopsida; Lamiales; Phrymaceae
Description: long non-coding RNA (EGUT_LNC000694)
Source: RNAcentral
AAAUAAUAAUUUUAAAUUAUCCAUCUCCUCUCCAGCUCUCUACCUCCACAAGCAGAAACCAAAACUCCACCACAUAAACACCACCGCCAGCAUUUCUCUUGCAAACCACAACCAGUCAUUGCCGCCAGCGCCGGUGGGCUGCUACUUCCUCCAACUCUCCACCUCUGGCCCUCUCUAUCUAUCUUCUACAUUCCACACUCUAAAGCACGCAAAAACUCAAGGCUAGGGUUUUUUUUUCGUUUUUUUCUCAAAUUAAAAUUGGGCAAUUCCUCAUUUGAUGAUUUAAUUUGAUUUUUAUUUUUUUUUAAAUAGGAAUGAUUAUUGCUUAGAUUUUAUGUUUCUCCAUACUAAUUGUGUGAAAGUAAAAUGAAAUUGAAUAUUCAUUAACUUGUG